AACGAGGCCGACCUGCGGCUGAGUUACCUGCGGAGGGAUCAUUACCGAGUUUACAACUCCCAAACCCCUGUGAACAUACCUAUACGUUGCCUCGGCGGAUCAGCCCGCGCCCUGUAAAACGGGACGGCCCGCCCGAGGACCCUAAACUCUGUUUUUAGUGGAACUUCUGAGUAAAACAAACAAAUAAAUCAAAACUUUCAGCAACGGAUCU
Molecule: unclassified non-coding RNA, 211 nt
Filed under: soil metagenome
Description: partial contains 5.8S ribosomal RNA, internal transcribed spacer 2, and large subunit ribosomal RNA
Source: RNAcentral